CAGUGAGAUAUCAUCUCACACCAGUCAGAAUGGCUAAAAUUAACAACACACACACAAAAACCCAACAGGCUUCCUCAGCAAGAAUGCUGAGAAAGAGGAGCCCUCUUACACUGUUGGUGGGAAUGCAAACUGGUGUAGCCACUCUGGAAAACAGUUACCAAAAACUGGAUCGUUUCUUGAGAACUGGAGGUUUCUCAAAAAGUUAAAAAUAGAACUACCCCACAUCCAACAAUUGCAUUACUAGGUUUACCCCCAUAAUACAAAAAUACUGAUACAAAGGGAUACAUGCACCCCAAUAUUUAUAGCGGCAUUAUCAACAAUAACCAAAAAAGAGUCCAAAUGCCCAUCGACUGAUGAAUGGAUAAAGAAGAUGUAAUAUAUAUAUAUAUAUAUAUAAUUAAAAAAGAAUAAAAUCUGGCCAUUUGCAAUGUCAUGGAUGGAGCUAAAGAGUAUUAUGUCAAGCAAAAUAAGUCAGUCAGAGAAAGACAUAUACCAUAUGAUUUCACUCAUAUGCAGAAUUAAGAAAUGAAACAAAUGAACAUAAGGGAGAAAAAAAGAGGCAAACCAGAAAACAGACUCAACUAUAGAGAACAAACUGAAGGUUACUGGAAGAGAGGUGAACAAGGAGAUGGGUUAAAUGGGUGAUGGGUAUUAAGGAGGGCACUUGUUAUGAUGAGCACUGGGUGUUGUAUGUAAGUGAUGAGUCACUAAAUUUUACACCUGAAACUAAUAUUACACUGUAAUACUACACUGUAUGUUAACUAACUGGAAUUUAAAUAAAAACUUUGGGGAAAAAGAGUGGAAUACUCUAAUAACUGAACCAGCCAGGUGCCCCAAGAAGAGAUUUUUUAUUUUAUUUUAUUUUUUAUUUUAGAGAAAGAGCAUGAGCAGGAGGAGCAAAGGGAGAGGGAGAGAGAAUCUCAAGCAGACUCCACGCUGAGUGUGGAGCCUGACUUGGGGCUAGAUCCCAGGACCCUGAGAUUGAGCUAAGCUGAAACCAUGAGUUGAAGACUUAACCAACUGCACCACCCAGGCACCCCUAGAAGAGAUUUUUAAAAAGUGUUUGAAAAGGUGGAAAACUUCAAGAGCGAGUUGAAAUGUAUAGAAAGGAAUCAAAUAGACACUCCAAAACUGAAAAUACAACACUGAAAUAAUGAAUUCAUUAAGUGGGUUUAAAAGCAGAUUAAAAAGACCACUGAACUUAAAAACAGGUCCAAUGGGGAUCCCUGGGUGGCGCAGCGGUUUGGCGCCUGCCUUUGGCCCAGGGUGCGAUCCUGGAGACCCGGGAUCGAAUCCCACAUCAGGCUCCCGGUGCAUGGAGCCUGCUUCUCCCUCUCCCUCUCCCUCUGCCUAUGUCUCUGCCUCUCUCUCUCUCUGACUAUCAUAAAUAAAUAAAAAUUAAAAAAAAAAAACAGGUCCAAUGAAAAAUACCCAAACUGAAGCAUAAAAAGAAAAAAGAUGAGAAAAACAGAACAUAAAAAAUGUUAAUGAAAUAUUCUACAUUCUUUUUUUUCAUACUGUCUUCCAAAUCUAGUGAGUUUUACUUUUGCAGUGCAUCUUAAUUUGAACUAGCUACAACACGGCACCUGGCUAGCUCAGUUGGUGGAGCAUCCAACUUUUGAUCUCAGGGUCAUGAGUUCAAGCCCCACACUGGGCAGAAACCUACUUUAAAAAAAAAAAAAAGAACUAGGUGCAUCAAAUACUUAAUAGCCACAUGCAGCCUAGUAGCUACCAAAUUGGACAAAACUCUAGACAUGUCAAUAUUUUUCUUUACUUAUUAUAAUCAUUACCACAUAAGUCAGUAAAUUCAGUCAAAGUAAAUCAAGGGGACGCUUGGGUGGCUCAGGGAUUGAGCAUCUGCCUUGGGCUCAGGCAUGACCCUGGGGUCCCGGGAUCGAGUCUCACAUCGGGCUCCCUGCAUGGAGCCUGCUUCUUCCUCGGUCUGUGUCUCUGCUUCUCUCUCGGUGUCUUUCAUGAAUAAAUAAAUAAAAUCUAAAAAAAAAAAAAAAAAAAAAAA
This 2017-nucleotide long non-coding RNA is filed under the name Canis lupus familiaris (dog). RNAcentral's name for it is "lncRNA (ENSCAFG00845024448.1)". Lineage: Eukaryota; Metazoa; Chordata; Mammalia; Carnivora; Canidae. The record is from RNAcentral.